UACGGAGGGGGGCUAGCGUUGUUCGGAAUUACUGGGCGUAAAGCGCGCGUAGGCGGCUUUGUAAGUUAGAGGUGAAAGCCCAGGGCUCAACCCUGGAAUUGCCUUUAAGACUGCAUCGCUUGAACAUCGGAGAGGUAAGUGGAAUUCCGAGUGUAGAGGUGAAAUUCGUAGAUAUUCGGAAGAACACCAGUGGCGAAGGCGACUUACUGGACGAUUGUUGACGCUGAGGUGCGAAAGCGUGGGGAGCAAACAGG
RNAcentral lists this ribosomal RNA (254 nucleotides) under uncultured bacterium. RNAcentral describes it as "partial 16S ribosomal RNA". It matches the Rfam family "Bacterial small subunit ribosomal RNA", at positions 524 to 776 of the family's 1533-position model. The record is from RNAcentral.